This 210-nucleotide ribosomal RNA is filed under the name uncultured Glomus. RNAcentral describes it as "partial small subunit ribosomal RNA". It matches the Rfam family "Eukaryotic small subunit ribosomal RNA", at positions 591 to 806 of the family's 1831-position model. Lineage: Eukaryota; Fungi; Glomeromycota; Glomeromycetes; Glomerales; Glomeraceae. The record is from RNAcentral.
CCAAUAGCGUAUAUUAAAGUUGUUGCAGUUAAAAAGCUCGUAGUUGAAUUUCGGGGUUAGUAGGUUGGUCAUGCCUCUGGUAUGUACUGGUCUCACUGAUUCCUCCUUCCUGAUGAACCGUAAUGCCAUUUAUUUGGUGUUGCGGGGAAUUUGGACUGUUACUUUGAAAAAAUUAGAGUGUUUAAAGCAAGCUAACGCUUGAAUACAUUA